RNAcentral lists this ribosomal RNA (459 nucleotides) under Priestia megaterium. Its description in RNAcentral is "bacterial SSU rRNA". It matches the Rfam family "Bacterial small subunit ribosomal RNA", at positions 941 to 1399 of the family's 1533-position model. Lineage: Bacteria; Bacillati; Bacillota; Bacilli; Caryophanales; Bacillaceae. The record is from RNAcentral.
GUGGUUUAAUUCGAAGCAACGCGAAGAACCUUAGCAGGUCUUGACAUCCUCUGACAACUCUAGAGAUAGAGCGUGCCCCUUCGGGGGACAGAGUGACAGGUGGUGCAUGGUUGUCGUCAGCUCGUGUCGUGAGAUGUUGGGUUAAGUCCCGCAACGAGCGCAACCCUUGAUCUUAGUUGCCAGCAUUUAGUUGGGCACUCUAAGGUGACUGCCGGUGACAAACCGGAGGAAGGUGGGGAUGACGUCAAAUCAUCAUGCCCCUUAUGACCUGGGCUACACACGUGCUACAAUGGAUGGUACAAAGGGCUGCAAGACCGCGAGGUCAAGCCAAUCCCAUAAAACCAUUCUCAGUUCGGAUUGUAGGCUGCAACUCGCCUACAUGAAGCUGGAAUCGCUAGUAAUCGCGGAUCAGCAUGCCGCGGUGAAUACGUUCCCGGGCCUUGUACACACCGCCCGUCA